CACAGAAAAACAGGCCAGCAGAAUUCUGAGCAGGCCUCUGAAACUCCAACGUCACAAACUAAGCGCUGAAUCCAAAUCACUUUUCCGACUCCAAGCUUUUCCCUUACAUCUUGAUAAAUGUUUUUUUUCUUUUAUUCAUUCCUAUAAAUUUAUUAGGAAUAAGACGUGGCUCUAAACCCAGCUCCCAAAGUUUUAUUCUUCACCGCUGCUUCUCGCUAAAAGAAUUCCAAGAAGAAAACUACAACAACUCUUCAUCAGAGGUUGUGAAGUUCAAGGGUGGGGGAGAAGUGAAAAAGUAAAGGGUUAUGAGAAGGGAGAAAAAGAAAAUCGAGACUCCCAAGUUCUUUCCCCAGGUGCCAGCACUGUGGCCAGCAGGAGCCCCAACUCGCCGGACAGGACAAGGCAUCUUAGCAGUCACUCAUGACCACUCCGCGUCUGUCCCGCCGCUAAGGAAGUCGCCGGGGCCGCUAAAAGUCUAGGCGCCCCCUAUCUGGGGAGCCCGGCCCCAUCCUCCCAGGCGUGUGAACCCCGAAUAGGGACGCCGAGUCCCGCGGGUGGGUACCUUGCGGGCGCUCGGCGCGGGCGCCGCCUCUCGGGCGGGACUCCACGGCCCCGCAGGAGGACACCGAGGAGGUGGAGGAGAAGUCAGAGGAGUCGGAGCCGGGCGAGCCGGGCGCCGAGGGCACGGCGGACAGGUGCAGUAUUGGAAUAAAAAGCAAUGUCCACCCUUCGUCUCCUUCAAUACUAAAGUCUUCCUUGCCAGUGCUCUGCCUGCCAGAAGAGGGCACCAGAUCUCAUCACAGAUGGUUGUGAGCCACCACGUGGAUUCCGGGAAUUGAACUCAGGACCUCUGGAAGACCAGCCAGUGCUCUAAACCUCUGAGCCAUCUCUCCAGACCCCACACUGAUAAUGUUAAUGCUACUAGCUACUGAAAGUCCACCAUACACUAAAUGCUGUUAGGUUAUUUACAUUAUCUCUAGUAAUGACUGGAAGACUGGUCAAAGACUGAAGUAAAAUCAAUAAAGUCAAUGGUCAGAAACUAAAGUGGCAGCAAACAAGAUCAUGCCAACCACAGCUCAUGUGAGAAGAUAAAAAUACAGCUAGUUAUGGAUGGGACCAAUGUAACCCUGAUAACAACAACAAAAUCUGAACAGUCUGAUAUCGAGAGAUAUGUGAAUUUAAUAGAUUUAAUUACCUACCCUCCCCCCACGGACUGCUUUUGCACUUUCUGUAUACCUUAAGUCAGAAACUGGGGGCCACAGGCUCUAAGCCAAACUCAACCCUUUGUGCAAUUGGCUACCUAAGAAUAGUUUUUGCAUUUUUUAAUCAUUCAUUUAAAGUGCCUGUCUUAGUGCCUACAUAAUAUCCUCCAUCUUCUUCCGUGGCCCUCAAAACCUCAAAUAUCUCUACUUGGUCCAUGAUGGGGAAAAAAAAAUUCAAGCAAAGUCGCUUAAAGAUACUGUGAUACGACUGUAAAGCCUGCAACCCAAUUCUAGCAAUUUCCGGCUGUGUGACCUUCGGCCCCUUCCUUAAUCUCUCAGUAUCAGUUUAUGAUCCUAAAAAUUGAGAAAAGCUAGUAUUUAAAUCAAACUGUUAACGUCACAUGAGAUAACGUACAAUGCAUACACUGUACUAGACGUACUCUAGAAACUGAGCAAAUGUUAAUUCCCUUAUCAUUCCUUUACAUUAUUAUGAGCUGUGAGUAAACUCUCUACAUCUGUGUCAACUGGAAAAGGAGGAAUAGGUUACACACAGGACAAAAAGACCUGUUAGUCAUACCUUGUGUCUGCAUAGCAGACUCACCAACACCCCUGCCCCAGGCACUGUCACAUUUAUGCCACUAAACUGGUCAGGAAGGAGCUGUAUGUCAUUUAAAGUGUUGUACUGCUAAACUAGUAUACCAGAAAGCGUAGAAUGAACAGUUCCUGAAGAUGUACCCAUUAGCUAUGAGAGUCGGCAAAUCAGUUCUCCUCUCAGCAUCCUUCCAGCCUUCCUGUUUCUGGCCAGCGUGUCAAAUGCCAGGUCCUAAACCUCACUCUUGAUUUUAUAGGCUUGCCCUGCUACCGACAAGAUGACAUCUCUGUCAACCGACAUCAUCCUUUGCAGCGCAGAGUUCCAGAGACGGUCCAACAAACAGGGUGGGGGUGAGGGUGAACAAAAAAUGGGCUGCAGGAAGAGCAAAGGGCACACACAAAGGUGCUUACCAUCUCUGGUUUGCUUUGGUUUUAGUUUUAUGUGUGCAAAGUCUCAGCAUCCUUGAUCAGUGACUCUUGGCCAUUUCCCCCAGGUUUCCAGAUGGGUAUGACUUAUUAAAUGGAGCUCUGUGCCUA
Mesocricetus auratus (golden hamster) is the source of this 2330-nucleotide long non-coding RNA. RefSeq lists it as uncharacterized. NCBI's taxonomy places the organism in Eukaryota, Metazoa, Chordata, Mammalia, Rodentia, Cricetidae. The transcript has 3 exons. The record is from RefSeq and is a predicted model, not a curated record.